AUGGCUAUUAGAAAUUUAGAAUGGAGACUUCCAAUUCUGGGUGUUUUUGUAGGUAUGCGGUACUACUUUCUGAUAUGUGGCUGGUUGAUGGAACCUGUAUAUUCCCAAUCCUUUGGAAUAGAGAUUCUAGUUGUGCUUAGUAAUGGAUUUCAUAUUAUACCUUGGAAGGUGACAACGGAAGAUAAGGUCUGUGAUUUGUACGUUCUGCUAAUGACCGACUUUCAGUAA
Molecule: ribosomal RNA, 228 nt
Filed under: Triticum aestivum (bread wheat)
Lineage: Eukaryota; Viridiplantae; Streptophyta; Magnoliopsida; Poales; Poaceae
Description: partial small subunit ribosomal RNA
Source: RNAcentral